UACGUAGGGUGCUAGCGUUAUCCGGAUUUACUGGGCGUAAAGGGUGCGUAGGUGGUCUUUCAAGUCGGUGGUUAAAGGCUACGGCUCAACCGUAUUAAGCCGUCGAAACUGGUAGACUUGAGUGCAGGAGAGGAAAGUGGAAUUCCUAGUGUAGCGGUGAAAUGCGCAGAUAUUAGGAGGAAUACCGGUGGCGAAGGCGACCCCCUGGACAUAGUCUGACGCUGAGGUGCGAAAGCGUGGGGAGCAAACAGG
RNAcentral lists this ribosomal RNA (252 nucleotides) under uncultured bacterium. RNAcentral describes it as "partial 16S ribosomal RNA". It matches the Rfam family "Bacterial small subunit ribosomal RNA", at positions 524 to 776 of the family's 1533-position model. The record is from RNAcentral.